This 29800-nucleotide long non-coding RNA is filed under the name Nicotiana tabacum (common tobacco). RNAcentral's name for it is "long non-coding RNA (NTAB_LNC011675)". The record is from RNAcentral. Lineage: Eukaryota; Viridiplantae; Streptophyta; Magnoliopsida; Solanales; Solanaceae.
UUUUAUUCAAUGAGAAAGAAUUAAAUUUGGGCCAAUUGGGAGUUCAUUUUCGGAUUUUAGUGGCCCAACAAGACAAAGACUCAUUCCUUCCCAAUCCCUUUUAGCCCAAACCCUUUUCUCACCCAUCAAACCCCUCCCUUAAUCAUAGCCUUUGAUCUACUUUCAUCCAAGGGCCCAUGCUCACUCCCCACUAUCAAAUAAAAACUAAAUUAACACCCAAAACCCUAAGCUAACUCCCCCACUUCAGCCAUAAAAGACUCCAGCAGCCACCCCUUCUUAAAAAAAUAGCCACAGACCUAAAAUCAGCGGCACCUCCCAAAUAUAGAGAGAUCUCCAUCGUCACUCUCUCUGACAAAAAGAAAAGUUGUAGUUUGGUGGUGAUAUUUUAAGCAAGUUAAAAAAAAACAUUGUGAGUCGAACUUUAGCAGAUUGGAAAAACUAUAACAUCUCUAUACAAAGGUUCAUGUUCGAACACCACCAGAUUUCGGCUUGAAAUUGUUCAGAUUUAGCCGGUCUUGCGAUUUUCCGACGAUUCCAGUUUUGAUUUUAUGUUCGAGGUUGCGUUGCCGGUCCGGGGUUCCAGUUAAUACCUUGUUUGAGCGUUGCUAUUUCUUUGGUGUUAGCUUGCUUUGUAUGCAGCAAAAAGGUUAGAAUCCAAUAACAAAAAGUCUAUUUUCAUUUACAUAUAAUUUUGGUUGGUUUCUGGUAUGAAAAUGUGACUUUCUCCAGUCACAUUAGUAAGUGACAUGAUUUAUGAAUGUGCUAUGCUUUCUCUGUUAGUCUCUUGAAUUAAUUUCAUUAUUGAGGAUCUUGAUUAGGAGGAGGUGAUAAUGAAAAUUCUUGGGUAAUUCAACUAUCUUCAUUUGAGUUUUAGUUGGGUGGUUACUGCUUUUAACAAUGUGACAGUGAUCUUUAAUAAUGUUCUUGGGCCGAACAAGUUUAAUCUCCAGGCCUCAUUUAUUUUAGUCAAUAGAUUAAGAUAAAUGUCUCAUAAUUUUAAAGGUAGAGUAGAUAACUCCUUCCAUAAUUCGCAUGUCUUACAAUAAUCUCUAAUUAUCUUUAGGAAAUAGUUAAUGAACAUCGUAGCUCGCUUUAGGUACGAUUAAUAAUAAAUCCUCACGACUAUCGGUACGGUUCCCGUAGCAUAGUAGCGAUACAUAAAGCCAAAUUCGGGUGUGCAUUUCAUGUGACCCGACCAUAACUUUGAAUAAUUAUAAAAAAAUAACAUGUUGUAAAUCGCAGGUGCGUUUCACGUGGCAUGAUUCACAAUAUAUACAAAACAGACGAGUGCGCGACAUCGCGACUUGUUCAAAUAAAACUUCAUAAAUACUAAAAGUGAUUAAAUAAAUAAUUAAAAGCGGUUGAAGAGCGAAAAUGCAAAACAUGUUUUAAAUAUGUAAUUAAUCAUCUUAUUAGGACAAUUAUUAAUAGUCGAGCGACUGUACUAAAACCAUAAAACUCGGGAUUGCCUCACACUUUUUCCCGGGUUAACAGAAUUCCUUACUCGGUCUUCUGUGUUCGUAGACCAUAAAUAAGAGUUAAUUUCCUCGAUUUGGAAUUUAAAAUAAAUCGGUGACUUGGGACACCAUAAAAUUUUUCCAAGUGGUGACUCUGAUUAAUUAAAUAAUCUCAUUUCGAUUAGUGUCACUUAAAUUGGAAAAACUCCCCUAUCUCCUCGGGAAAAGGGAGGUGCGACAGUCCUCAAGCAAAUAAAUUAAUUCCCACCUUCUCAGAGUUAAAUGUCAUUUCAUCGAGUCAAUGGUGAGCCAUUCAUACAUCACGUGAGGCCAACAAUUACCCACACUACUCAUGUAUUAUCAACAAAGUGACAAGUCAAAUAUUCAUGCAGAUAUAUUCUAAUGUGACAUUUGAGCUUCAAGAAUUGACUUUACUCAUCAAGGACUCUUGUUCUAUCAUGCAGGUCAUGGUGGACUCCAAACUCUUCCUCCUCUACUUUCCAUUUGCCAAACUCACUUAAAAAGAUAGCACUCAAUCUUAAUAUUCAUGAAAGGUUCACUCUUCUCUCACAAGAGAAUGUCACAAGAACGACUUCAAGUACCAUAGGCUUUCCCCUCAUGUAGAUUGUCACUAAUGUAAGCUCACUCGGUUCGAAAUCAAGUAGGACUUCUUUCAGGUUGUAAUGAAGGCUUUUGGAUUAGGGUAGGAUACCAUAUGGCUAAGUGGUUACACCUUUCCUUAAGCACUCCAUAUUUGCAUUUCUCGCCUCACAAUUACCAGUUCUUAGAGGCAUUUUUUUAUUGACGGCUAGAGAGACUUGACAUCACUCUUUCUUGUUCAUUUCAUUCUUUUUCUUCCUUUUUGAUGCUCAUUUUAGGGAUCAUUACUUCUUUUUGAAUCCAUCAACCCUUCCACUUAUUCUCGUUUUUACAUUUUUUUUCUUGUUCUUUUCUUUUCUGGCUUUCACUUUUCAUAGAGAUCAUUUCUCUUUUCUUUUUGUGUCUUGAUACCUUUUUCAAAUUCCUCAUCUCUUCCCCAUACUUAUGCUUUAAGCCAUUUAUUUCACAAGAGUGUUAAGGAAAGUCUGGGUUCCAAGAGAGGAUCACAAUAAUACGGGUAAAGGUUUAUAACAUGGUUAUCAAAUAAGAAAGGUUAGAGGCUCAAAGGGGGUUGACUAAGUAUAACGACAUUGGUUGGCAAUAAAAAGCUCAAACGGUCCAAGGAGAGCCUACAAUCACUUCUCAAACCAAGCAAAACUUAGGAUUUCUCCUCGAAACACAUUCGGGGCAAGUUCUAGACCAUUCACAUGGAUACUUGGACUAGAAACAAUUCAUCUCACCCCUCACGCAACUAAAUUGUAAAAGAGGAUAGAGUCGAGAGCCUACAACGACCACAUUCAAGUUUAAAGAUCACUAUGGUCCAAUAAACCACUCGAUGAUCACCAAAGUCAACUCAAAAGUCAUAAAGUCACUAACUAGAGCUAUUUUCUUUCAAAAACCUUGUCUCUAACCAUAAACACGUAGUUAAGUGUGUGGGUACCAAAUGAAGCAUGAUUAACUCUUUUUCGAUAAUGACUUGAUUAGGCCUUUUUAUUAAUUACUACUACUAUUAUUAUUACCUAAACACAAAAACAGACUCCUCAUUACCUUAAAAAUGUUGUAACGCCAUCCAACGAGUCACCCGGUUCACACAAAAAAAACAUUGGAAAGACCGUGGCUUUAAAGAAAACCAAUGGCUUAUUAUCUACUAGAGCAUAAAAAGAAGUUACUUAACAAAACAAGAACUAAUAUGGAAAAAAUAAAGAAGCUAAUGAGCAAUAACUACUAAAGAUAGAUAAAUAUACAUAAUAAAAGAGAGAGAAGAUAGAUAAAUACAAAUAAGAACAAAAAAGAGAAUCAUUAAAUUAUUACAAAUCAAAUGUAUCCAAAGUGUGCUAAUGUAUCAAAUAAACUCCACCCCCCCCCCCCAAAUAUAAGUAAGCAUUGUCCUAAUGCUUAGAAAAAUAAGAGUAAAAGGAGGGAGGGUGAAGAAAGCUCGAUAAGGAUCCUUGGACAUUUCAGUGUCCCCAUCAAUAUCAUCUCCCUCAGGAUCAUCUAACUGUAUCUCAUCACCAUCAAAUCUAAGCGUGGCUGGGUUGUCGAACAUCGCACGCAUUGCCUCAGCAGUGUCGGCAUCAAGUCUGGCUCCUCAGAUUGGCCAGCUGGUGCUAUUGGUGCAAAUUGUGCUGAAAGAUCUGGGGCGGACUGAUGCGGGUCAAAUAGCAUACCAAAAAGGUCUCCGGAUGUGGCCAGUCUAGUCACCUCCUUUCGGAGCUUGUCCACUGAUUUCUUGCUUGCCUGGGACUUUCUCAUCUUCUUCACUUCCUUUCCCAACUCCUCAAUAACAGACCUGUGAUGUACCAAGGUGUCCAUGAUCGUCUUCUGGUUCUCUAUAAUCUUAUUCUCAUCAAUGUCAAAAGGAGCCUAUGGUACAUGAGUAGUGGACUGCACUGCAACAGUACUAGAUAAGUCAGGCAGCAUAGAAAUAGCUGUCUGCAUCCAGUUGUUGAGACUUCCCAAUGUCUGGGAGACUCGUAGAGUAGAUAGUGGAACUGUGGGCAUUGGCUUCAAAGCUGCACUAGAGGUUGUGGUAGGAUCUAAGGAUGAUGGUAGAGGCAUAGGAGGGGCUCUGGUAGAAGGCUCAGUAGAGGUGGAUGGAAGAUCAACUGUCUCAGAAGCUACCACUAUUGGCUCAUCAGACUGGCAUGUGGUGGUAUAAGGCUGGACUUUCAUUUUUGGGUUGCUCGCAUCCAUUAGUGAAUACUAGUCAAAUGGCUUCUUCAGAUUCACCUUGGUGUCAAAAGCUCUUGGCUCUACCUUUGCAUCAAUGAGGUACUCUGUGAUAGUGUUGGGAUAAGGGUAGGCCGAGCUAUCCUGCCGUGGAAUCACUGAAAUGUUGACCGACAUCACAACACCCACAUUGAUUGGGUACACGACCAUGAUGGAAGCCACAAGAACUGCCCUAGGAAUAGGAAGGUGAGUCUCGUUCUAGCAUGGAUCCAAUCUGCUACAAACAAAUAUCUUUCACCCCUUUGGCUCGUAACCUAAAGUGCUCCACUGAAUGAGAACCCCAACGGUAAUCCAUGGUGGUGGUGGCCUUGGUGGUGCUAGGAUCUCAGCUAGCCAAGCUUGGACUUCCUUCUUCAUUGCGCACUUCUCCAGAUAAUCCUUUGGUUCAACAUCCUUGAAGCCCAAGUACGUGUGUAGCGUAUGUUGAUCAAACCUUACCUUGAGGUUGCGCACUUUGGUCACCUUCGUCCCUUUCUUUUUUAUAUGAGCAACAUUGGCAUAGAACUCUCGAACGAGGUAUUAUUUGGCAUCCUCUACUCUCUCGGUGAACCACAUUCAACCCUUUCAUGCUAUGAAUUGACUUAAGAUUGUUGGGUUGUAUGUCUCCAAAUCCUUCAAUAAGAACUGUCACUCAAGAGUCAACGAACUCACUGGACACCACAUAUGAAAGCUAGUAAAGGCAGCCAAACUAAAAAAAUCUAUCCUCCCAGACCUCCUUCUUCUUUGAUCUCUCCAAACCUGUAGCUGUACCACCCCCCUAUCAUCAUCGGGUAUCUCAAGUAUAGGUUGUACCUCUGGGACUGGUGUAGCAGAUGACUCAGAAGCCUAGCUAGCACUCUUCAACCCCUCAGAGGUGCUGUGAGAUAAAAAAGGCUCAUCCCUGAGCUUGUAUCUCCCCUGUGGCUUUGAUUGUGUGGCCAUCUGCUUCUCCCGAACAGAGGUUGAGUUUCCCUCUAACACCUCCCUAGACGUGGCAUAGGAGUUAGACUCGUAGAGGUCUGCACCUCCCCCUCUAUUGGUUGUGAGUUUCUUCCUGAUUGUCUUAGGUUGGACAAGGGGCAAGGUACCUUUACCUCGACCCCGAGAGGAUUCACCUCUUCCCUUUGAAGUGUUGCCUCGACCUAUUGAUCAAACCAUUGUCUUUAUCAAAGAAAAGAAGAUUGUUAGUUUCAAUUCAUUGUUCAACACAUUCAGGACUAUUGUAGGUAAGGGAGAGAUAAUUGGACAUAGUGGGGAUACGCAUGCAACACUUGUCUGUAGGUAAAGGGAUAUGUUGUCCACACAUUUUUAUGUGCAUCUAUAUAAGGAAAUCACGGUCCACAAAAUUCUGUUGUGCGGCCACAGAAGGGAAGUGUGGUCCGCACAUUUUAACUUGUGGCCACACUUCUGAGUCUCAAAAAUAGUGAGCCUCUGAUGUCAGAGAAAUGGACUAUCUGCGGUCGCAGAGGGAAAUUUGCGGUCCGCACAUUUUAACUUGCGGCCACAGAUUCCUUCUUCUCUGAGUUGCCCAAAUUCAACAUCUACAUACUGCACAAAUUCAAGCGCGACCGCAUAUUUCAAAAGGUUACGAGCAGUUUUUUAAUUCUUGCACAAAUAGGCAUGGAAACAUGGUAAAACCAUGAAUCUACACUAAUCCAACCCCAUUAGAGCAUAUAUCAAGUUUACCUAGUUCAGAUCUACCCCACAUGGACAAAUAAUUGAACUCUAAUAGCAGAUGGCCUAAAAAAAGAACUAAAAGUCUAAAAGAUUAACUAACACAAAACAUUUAACAUGAAAUUGAAGCAUACCAGAUAGAGUAAGUGCAAUGGGUUGAUAAUCAAGGUGGUUGUAUGUGAGGACAGUGAAAAAUCUCCAAGAAAAUUCAACAGAACAACAGUGUUUUGUUCAGAGAGGGGAAAAUGUGAAAUGAACCAUAUUCUUCUAUUUAUACCAACGAUUUUAGGAAGGGAAAAGAGAUGAGUGCGGCUGCACAUUUUCAUGUUCGGUCCGCACUCUUUCACCUAGGUGGCCAUUCUCAGAACUUCAAUGUGUCGUCCGCACAUUUUCAAGUGCGGCUGCAGAUUUCCUGUGCGGUCGCAAAUCGACCUCCGCACUGACAAGGUCAAACUUCAGAGAGUUGGUAUUUUGACACUUUUGUAACAUUUCAAAUGUGCGGUCCGCAAGAAAAAUGUGUGUCUGCACUGCUAUUCUGCUAUGGCAGAUAAAAAUGUGCGGUCCGCACAAAUAAAGUGUGGUUCGUACAAUCUUGAACACUUAGCCAUAUUUUUGUCAACCUUUCUUGUAAGUCACACUCAUCCCUGUAGCACACUUCAAAUCAAGUUAGAACACAAAUAACACCUAACUACAAAGGAAAAAAGGAAAAAAAAAACACGGGUUGUCUCCCAAGAAGCGCCUGAUUUAACGUCGCUGCAAGACGCAAAAUACCCUCAAGUGAAAUGAAUGACUGCCACCACAUGGCUAUAUCCAACCUUUCCCAAGUAGUGCUUUACACGGUGACCAUUGACUCAGAAUACUUCAUUAUUUUUGUUCUUCAAGUCUAAUUCACCGAAAGGUGUCACACCUACAAUUUCAAAAGGACCACUUCACUUGAAUUUUAGUUUUUCGGGAAACAUCCUCAACCAUGAGUUGAACAACAAUACACGAUCACCCACGUUGAACUCUUUGUUCCAAAUGUGUUUGUCAUGACGAUAUUUCAUUUUUUCUUUGUAUAAGGACAAACUCACAUAUGUGUUUGUCAUGUUCAACCCUCAAGUUAGCGGCUACAUCCCAAUCAAGAUUCAACUUCUUUAGAGCCCACAUUUCCUUGUGAUCUAGUUCCAUCAGAAGAUGACAAGAUUUUCCGAACACCAACCGGUAUGGCGACAUUCCGAUAGGUGUUUUGUAAGACGUCCGAUAAGCCCAUAAUGCAUCACCAUGCUUCUUGGACCAAUCCGUCCGAUUAGCUUUCACCAUUUUGGACAAGAUACUCUUUAUCUCCCGGUUGGAGACUUCCACUUGCCCACUAGCUUAUGGGUGAUAUGGAGUCAUGACUUUGUGACUAGCACCAUACUUGCUAAGUAAAGUAUCAGAAGCCUUGUUGCAAAAGUGUGACCCAAUCAUAAUUGCACGUGGAGUACCAAACCUUGUGAAAAUAUUCUUCUUCAUGAAAGACACUACACUUCUUGCCUCAUUGUUGGGUAAAGCAACGACCUCAACCCAUUUGGACACAUAAUUCCACCACGACCAAGAUGUAGGUAUUUCCACAAGAAGUCACAAAAGUGCCCAUGAAGUCAUUGCAAAAUGGUUUUGAGAGGUAUUUCAUUUUUCUUUCAAAUUCCACCGGCCCGUUGAUAUUCAUCACAUAUUUUCACUAACUCACUAGUAUCUUUGUAAAGAGUAGGCCAUUAGAAAUCACAACUAAGCACUUUGGCCACUAUUCUUGCUCCACCAUGAUGACCACCAUAUGGCGAAGAAUGACAAGCCCCAAGAAUAUCACUUUGCUCUUCUUCCGGUACACAUCUUCUAAUUACCUCAUCCGUACAAAUCCGGAAAAGGUAUGAUUCAUUCCAAUAAUAAUCUUGACAAUCCCUUUUGAGAUUCUUCCUUUGGCUUGAAGAGAACUCAUCCGGAAUGAUUUCACACACAAGAAAAUUUUCUAAGUCCGCGAACCAUGGCACCUUUUUCAUUGAAAUUGCCAAUAGUUGCUCAUCAGGGAAGAAGUCAUUGAUUUCAAGGCCAUCUUGCGGCCUCCCCCCUCCUCCAAACGAGACAAGUGGUCCGCCACUUGGUUUUCACUACCUUUCCUAUCUUAGAUGUCAAUAUCGAAUUCUUGUAUCAAGAGAACAAAUCUCAUCAAUCGAGCUUUGAGGACCUUUUUGCUCAUAAGAUAAUGAAGUGUUGCAUGAUCCGUGUGAAUAAUAACUUCUGCACCCAUGAAGUACGAGCAAAACUUCUCUAUUGAAAACACAAAAGCAAGGAGCUCUUUCUCUGUAACGGUAUAGUUGACUUAGGCACUAUUCAUGGUCUUACUAGCAUAGUAGACCGGAUAAAAAAUCUUGUUGAUACGUUGCCCAAAAACAAUCCCAACUGCUACGUCACUUGCAUCACACAUGAGUUCAAAAGGCACACUCUGAUUUGGAGCUGUGAUGAUGGGAGUAGUUGUCAACUUAAGCUUCAACAAUUCAAAAUCUCUCAUGCAAUCAUCAUUGAAAUUAAACUUGGUAUCCUUCUCAAUAAGCAUGCACAACAGGUUUACCACCUUAGAAAAAUCUUUGAUCAAGCGCCGGUAAAAACCUUCAUGGCCUAAGAAACUCCGCACACCCUUCACCGAAGUACGAGGUGGAAUCUUAGAAAUAACCUCAAUCUUAUCCUUGUCAACUUCAAUUUGUUUCCUUGAGAUUUUGUGGCCAUGAACAAUACCUUCCUCUAUCAUGAAAUGACAUUUCUCCCAAUUGAGCACCAAAUUGGUUUCUUCACAUCUAGCCAACACUUUGUCCAAAUUUGCAAGUCAAUCAUCAAAAGAAUUUCCAACCACCGAGAAGUCAUCCAUGAAAAUUUCAAGGUAGUCCUCCACCAUAUCCAUGAAAAUAGCCAUUAUACACCUUUGAAAAGUCAUCGGUGCAUUGCACAAAACAAAUAGAAUCAGCUUGAAAGCAAAGGUACCAUAGGGACAUGUAAAUGUUGUUUUCUGUUGAGCUUCAAGAUCUAUAAGAAUUUGGUUGUAUCCCGAGUACCUAUCAAGAAAAUAAUAGAAAGCACGAUCGGUCAAUCUAUCGAGCAUUUGAUCUAAGAAAAGAAAUGGAAAGUGAUCCUUCCUUGUGACUUUGUUGAGCUUGCGAUAGUCCAUACACACCCUCAAACCGGUAACCGUUCUUGUAGGAAUCAACUCAUUCUUGUCAUUGAUGACCACCGUCAUGCUCUCCUUCUUUGGGACACAAUGAACCGGAGAAGUCCAUGAACUAUCGGAGAUGGGGUAGACAAUUCCGCCAUCCAACCACUUGAUAAUCUCCUUCUUGACAACUUCUUGCAUAGCCUCAUUUGUGUCUCCUUUGAUGUUAAAUAGAUGGCUUUGCGCCAUCCUCCAACUUGAUUUUAUGCAUGAAAAAGGUAGGGCUUAUACCCCGAAUAUCUGCCAAGGUCCACCCAAUAGACGUCUUCCUCUUUUGUAGCCACGCCAAUGUGGAAUCUACCUGCACGUUAGUCAAAUAAGAGGAAAAGAUAACAUGUAAAGUAUAAAAGGGGCCAAGAAAUUCAUAUCAAAGAUGUGGAGGCAAUUGAUUCAACUCCAAGAUAGGUGGCUCUUCAAUAGAAGGCUUUGUAAGAGGAGUCUUCCUAUUUUCAAGAUCCAAGGAUAAUUUUCAGGGCGCAUAGUUGUAUGAUCCCAUUCCUUGCAAAGAGUUCACACAUUCCAUGAAACCAUUCAUCUUGUCAUUAUAAAAGUUAAGCAUAUCACCAACAUUGAUUGUAGUAGUUGUUUCAUCAACAAUAACAUCGGUCACCAAAUCGACAAAAGAACACACAUCAUUGCUAUUUGGUUGCCGCAUAGAUUUAUAGACAUGGAAUACCAUAUUUUCAUCACCAACCCGGAAAGUGAGUUCUCUGGUUUCAACAUCACAAAGAGACUUAACUGUAGUAAAGAAAGGUCUCCCAAGAAUAAUUGGCACUUCAUAAUCAACUUCACAAUCUAGAAUGACAAAAUUCGUUGGAAGAAUGAAUUUAUCAACACGAACCAAAACAUCUUCAAUCACACCCAACGGCCUUUUCAUAGUACAAUCGACCAUUUGCAAUCUUAUAGAGGUGGGUCUUGGUUGCCCAAUUUCCAAAGUAUUGAAAACUGAAAAGGACAUUAAAUUUAUACUUGCCCCAAGAUCACAAAGAGCUUUAGAAAAUUCGGCACUUUCAAUUGUACAAGGAAUCGUGAAAGCACCAGGAUCCUCCAACAUAGAAGCCAUUGAAUGCACAAUUGCACUCACUUGAUGAGUGACUUUGAUGGUCUUAAAAUUCAUUGACCGCUUCUUUGUCACAAGAUCCUUCAUAAACUUUGCAUAACUGGGAAUUUGUUCAAAAGCUUCGACCAAUGGCACUUUGAUUGAAAGACUCUUCAUCAUUUAUAUGAACUUAUUGAAUUGAUUCUCACCAUUUUACUUUGGAAAGUCUUUGAGGGUAUGGAGGUGGAGGCUUAGGCAAUUAUGCCUUAUCCUUUUGCACUACCAGCUCCGGUAUGUCAAUUAUGUGUUCCCUAGACGGGUUCACCUCCUAUUAAGUCUCUUCCACACUGCCAUCAAUAUCAAUCUGAACUUCUUUAUUAGGUUACACAAUAAUGUUCGGGAUCUCUUCUUCUUGUAUCACUUAACCAUCAUCAACAAGUCGCCUUCCACUUGAGGUGGAUGUAUUCCCGCCUCUUCCACUUCUUAUGAUAACCGCCAUGUCAUGCCCUUGGGAUGAGAAUUUAGAGCUUGAGAGAUUUUCCCCAUUUGAACUUCUAGGUUGCGGAUUGAUGUGUUGUAUGAGGCAAGUUGGGCAUCCGAAUCGGCAUUAUUUUCCAUUAUUUGCUUGAACAUACUUUAAAUACGUCACAUAUCAUUGUUUGAAGAACUUGCACCGUGGGAAAGAUAAGGAGGUGGAUUGAUCGGUUGUUGCUACAUUGGGGGCCUUUGAAAACCUGACCCCCGGUUGCCUUGAUUGUUACUCCAUCCACCUUGAUUGUUGCCUACCCAAUUUCCUUGGUUGUUUCCACUCCAAUUUCCUUGAUUGUUGUUAUUGUUAUGCCAAUUCCCUUGAUUGUUAGGAUUCCAAUUUCCAUUAUUGUUUUGUGGUCGCCAUAGUUGUUGAUUUGGGCAUUGGAAGUUGUUUCUUUGCUCUUGAAAAUUGUUCACAUAUUGCACGUCCUCCUCUGGUUCAUUAUAGGAAUCAUCUUGUUCAAAACCACCAUCAUCUUGCACAUAGUUUUCCACUAGAGUUUGCACUUGUGGACCCUUGGUCCUUCUUUUGUUCACCAUCAUGUUCACUCCCUCCAUAGCAUUAACUUGCUUGGGAGCUUGCACUUGAUUUAGUUGGGCCUUUGCUAGUUGAGUCAUGAUAGUGGUCAAUUCGGAAAUGGCUUGCCCAUGAUAUUGCAAUUCUUUGUGAAGGUGGAUCAUAUUGUGGAACAUUGGCUCGGUAUUGCCAAGAUGACGAUGUUUCCACCAUCUCAUCCAAGAUUUCACACGUCUCCGCAUAUAGUCAUAAAAGUUUCCACUGGCUAGUUGAUUCAGUAUACAUUAGUUGGUUGUGUUUAUCCCACUAUAGAAGGUUUGUUGAAUCAUGUUUUCAGUCAUAUCGUUGUUGGGACAUUCCUUAACCAUUGUUAUAUGGCGCUCCUAUAAUUCGUGUAGUGGUUCAUUAGGCUCUUGCUUGAAUGUCAAUAUCUCAUCUCGAAGUGUAGCCAUAUGCCAGUGAGAGAAAUAUUUAGUAAUGAACUUUUUCGCCAACUCAUCCCAAGUAUGAAUUGAAUGGCUCGAUAAUCAUUUCAACCAAUCUAAAGCUUUCCCCUAUAUAGAGAAGGGAAAAAGCCUUAGCCUCAAUGUAUCCUCGGAAACAUUAAUUUGCUUGCUCCCCCAACAUGUAUCUGCAAAGCCCUUUAAAUGUUUGUAAGCAUUUUGAGUUGGAGCAACGGUAAAGAAGCCAUGUUGCUCAAGAACAGUGAGCAUCACAUUGGUGAUUUUGAAGUUUCCCGACCUAAUACGGGGAGAUACUAUUACACUAACGUAACCUUCAUUGAGCAAUAUCCAGUGUGGAGCCACUCGUGGUGGAGGUGGGGGUAGAACGGGCACAUUGUCAUGAGGUACUCGGCCUCUCCGAUUUUCUUGAGGAUCAAGAGGUACCUCUUCUACUUCCUCUUCCUCUCCAUCCAAUUCCCCCAAUGGAAAAUUUCCGAGAUCAUUGUUUGCCAUGUUUGUACCUAUAAUUUCUCACAUAAGUUAGUAACACGGAAGGAAAAGAAGAUAUUCCAAAAACAAACUCAAAUAUAUAGCUAACACCGUUUUAAUUCCCCGGCAACAGCGCCAAAAAUUGAUCCACGUCCAAUCCACACUCAAUAGUGAGUGGAAACGGUCAUUGGAAGAAUAGUAUCCAACAUGAGUCGGGUUCGAUUUCCACAGGGAGUUUAAUAUGGGUGUUAGGGGUAUACACUUGACGAAAGCAAAUUGAACAACUAGAUUGGAAUUCCAAACAAAGGGUUUGAUUUCUAAUUCUAAUUUUAAAAAGCCUAGGGAUGUGACCUGAACCUAGGUGUUCACCUAAUGGGUUAAAUACGUUAACACUUGUUUUAUUGGUCGGGGUGUAUUAUAGCUCUCAGCUCUAACUUGCCCACUCAAUACCUUUCGGUCAUAGGGUGAUUUUGCCCAAUUUGGCUUUCUCAAGCCCAAAUGGGUAUCAAGCUAAAUAGUUGAUAUGAGCUCAAGUCGGGUUCUCACUAUCUCUAGUUAAAACCCUUUUAAUUAUGCUAAUCAAGCCCUUAAUUAGCACAAUUUCUUGUUAGUCAAGUUUUUCUAGACUAGGUACCUCUUUAUCAAGUAAGAACCAAGUCAAAUAGGCAUGAAUCACUGUUUGCAACCAUUAAUUCUAAAAUUAAAGCAUAAACAAGGCUAAAUAAUCAACACCCAAUCAUAAACAAAUAUUAAAUUAAAUACCCAUAAGUUUACACACUAGGGUUGGGUCACAACCCUAGUAAGAGUCUAGCUACGCAUAAUGAAAAAUGAAGAAAACAAAGAAGAAAUACUAAUUAAACUCAUAAUCUAAGAUUAAAAUGAUAAAAUAUAAGUCCCAAAAUAAUCACAAACUUCCUAAAAUAGCAAAAUACACCGGCUACAACAGCUCAAAUUUCGAAACUUGACCUAAAAAUGUGAUUCUCGUCUAUUUAUAGUGGCUCAAAAUUCGUUGACAAAAAUGCCCCUUGGGAGGUUCUGCGGCCGCACAAUUUCAUGUGCGGUCCGAAGAUUGCUUCAGCUUGCAAGGACUUGGAUUCUGCAGCCGCACAAUUUGGUUUGCGGCUACAAUGCAUAUUUUGCGGCCGCACAAUUCUUGUGCGGUCCGCACUUUAGGCAAGGCUUCAAGUGUUGGUCACUUGCACAUUCUCUAAACUUUGAAUUACUUAUUAGUGCGGACCUUGUUCUGCGGCCUCACAAUUCAUGUGUGGUACGCACAUCAGCUAAAUCUCUACUGGGCUUCUUCACUUGUUCUACGGCCGUAGAAGGAAUUCUGUGGCCGUAGAAGGAAUUCUGCGGUUCGUACUUUCUUCUGCAGCAACAAAAAUACUUCUACGGACCGCACAUCUUAUGUUCUGUGCCCCUUCUUGCCUUGUGAGUCGGAACACUCCUUUUUUAGUCGAAUUUCAUCAUGAGAGCCCAAACUUCCAACAUUCCUGCAAUUUGCACACUUUCAUAUUUUUGGGAACAUAAAUCGAUACUCUCAAACUAAAACAAAAACAAAAAGUUUCUAAUAAGUGGUCAAAAUCCACACUUAUCAAUCCUGUACAAGGAAACCAACAACAGAAGAUUCAGCAGUCUCCAAGGUUCCGAAAAGAGUCGAACAUGAUCUGAAUUACACCGAGGACACUGGACCUCAACCAAACAUACAAACAAGUCCUAAAAUAUCAUAUGAACAUGCUCGAAGCAUCAAAUCAUAUCAAACAACAUUAGAACCAUGAAUCGUGCAUCGAUUCAAGCCUAGGUAACUUUUGAACUUCCGAGUUUCAAAACUAAUGUCGAUUCAUACCAAAAGAACUCCGGUUGACUUCAAAUAUUGAACACAAGUCAUAAAUAACAUGACAGGCCUAUUCUACCUUCCAGAAUUAGGAACCGACCACGAUAUGAAUAAAGUCAACUACCGGUCAAACUUUUCAACCUUCCAAACCUUCAACUUUCAAACUUUCGCCAAUUCACGCCUAAACGACCUACGGACCUCCAAAUCAACAUACGGACAUGUUCAUAAGUCUAAAAUCACCAUACAGAGCUAUUGAAACCGUCAAAAGUCUAUUCCGGUGUCGUCUACACAAAAAUCAAACUACAGUCAAUUCUUUUAACUUAAACCUCCAACUUAGGGACUAUGUGUCCCGUUUCACUCUAAAACUCACCCGAAACCAAAACCAAACACCCCGACAAGUCACAAAACCAUAAUAUAACAUAGAUGAGGCAAUAAAUAGGGGAUCUGAGCUAAAAUACUCAAAAGGACUGGCCAGGUCGUUACAUCCCCCCCUCCUAAAAUAAACGUCCGUCCUCAAAUGAGUGUAAAGACAUAACUGAAGUGGUGAAAAUAUCAGGAUAAUGGCUACGCAUAUCAUGCUCGGUCUCCCAAGUCGUCUCCUCGACUGGUUGACCCCUCCACCGAACCUUCACUGGAGCAAUGUUCUUCGACCUCAACUUUCGAAUCUGCUUGUCCAAAAUGGUCACUAGCUCCUCAACAUAAGACAAAUCCUUGUCCAAUUGGACUGAGCUGAAAUCAUACACGUGAGACAAAUCACUGUGAUACUUUCGGAGUAUAGAAACAUGGAAUACUGGAUGAACUGCAGGUAGACAAGGUGGCAGUGAAAGCUUGUAAGCCACCUCUCCAAUCCUCUCGAGAAUUGCAAAAGGUCUGAUAUAUCUAGAGCUCAGCUUGCCCUUCUUCCCGAACCUCACAACACCCUUGAUGGGCAAAACCCAUAGCAAGACCCACUCCCCAUGAAUGAAACAUCAUGAACCUUCCGAUCCACAUAACUCUUCUAUCUAGAUUGGGCUGUGCGAAGCCGAUCUUGAAUCAAUUUAACCUUUUCCAAAGCAUCCUGAACCAAGUCUGUACCCAAUAGCCUAGCCUCACCCGGCUCGAACCAACCCACUAGAGAUCGACACUUCCUCUCAUACAAGGCCUCAUACGGAGCCAUCUGAAUGCUCGACUGGUGGUUGUUGUUGUAAUCAAACUCCGCAAGUGGCAAGAACUGAUCCCAAGAACCCCCAAACUCCAUCACACAUGCACGAAGCAUAUCCUCCAAUAUCUAAAUAGUGCGCUCGGACUGUCCGUUCGUCUGAGGGUGGAAUGUUGUGCUCGGCUUAACCCGCGUGCCUAACUCAGGUUGUACGGCCUUCUAGAACUGCGAUGUAAAUUGUGUACCCCGAUCAUAUAUGAAGGACACCGGCACUCCAUGAAGCUUGACGAUCUCGCGAAUAUAGACCUAAGCCAGCUACUCUGAAGAAUAAGUAGUCACCACUAGAAUGAAAUGAGACGAUUUGGUCAACCUAUCCAUAAUUACCCAUACUGCAUCGAAUUUCCUCUGAAUCUAUGCGAUCCCAACAACAAAAUCCAUUGUAACCCGCUCCCAUUUCCACUCUGGAAUCUCUAGCCUCUAAAGCAAUCCACCUGGCCGAUGAUGCUCAUACUUCACCUGCUGACAAUUUAGGCAACGAACUACAUACCCCAAUAUGUUUUUCUUCAUUCUCCUCCACCAAUAGUGUUGCCUUAAGUUCUGGUACAUCGUAGCGGCACCCGGAUGAAUGAAGUACCGCGAACUGUGUGCAUCCUGCAGAAUCAACUCAUGCAAACCAUCUAUAUUGGGCACACAUAGCCUACCUUGCAUCAGUAACAAACUGUCAACCCCAAUAGUGACCUCUUUGGCAUCACCGUGUUGGACCGUCUCCCUGAGGACAUGCAAAUGGAGGUCGUCACAUUGAUGCUCUCUGAUACGAUCAUAUAGAGAAUACUGAGAAACCACACACGUCAAAAAUCGACUCGGCUAUGAAACAUCCAAUCUAACAAACUGGUUGGCCAAGGACUGAACAUCCAAUGCUAAUGAACUCUUUGCCGGUUAGAUAUGCUAAACUGCCCAAGAUCUCCUCCUUACAACUCAAGGCAUCGGCUACCACAUUGGCCUUCCCCCAAUGAUAUAUAAUGGUAAUAUCAUAGUCCUUAAGAAACUCUAACCAUCUCUGCUACCGCAAGUUAAGAUACUUCUAUUUGAACAGAUAUUGUAGGCUUCGAUGGUCGGUAUAGGCCUCACAAAGGACACUAUACAAAUUGUGCCGCCAAAUCUUCAAGUUAUGAACAAUAGCUGCUAACUCAAGGUCGUGGACAGGAUAAUUCUUCUCAUGCACCUGCAGUUGUCUAGACGUGUAGGCAAUCACCCUACCGUCUUGCAUCAACAUUGCGCCGAGGCUAACACGCGACGCAUCACAGUACACAAUGUAAGACCCCAAACUCGUAGGCAACACCAACACUGGGCUGUUUUCAAAGCAACCUUGAGCUUUUGAAAGUCUCCUCACACUCCUCGGUCCACCUGAACAGAUCACUCUUCUGGGUCAAUCUGGUCAUAGGUGCAGCAAUAGAUAAGAAACCCUCUAUGAAUCGACGAUAAUACCCUGCCAAACCAAGAAAACUUCGGAUCUCAGUAGCUGAGGACAAUCUGGGACAACUCUGUACUGCUUCAAUCUUCUUUAGAUCUACCUUGAUUCCCUCACUAGACACUACAUAUCCUAAAAAUGCCACCGAAUCAAGCCAAAAUUCAUACUUUGAAAAUUUUGCAUACAAAUUCUUUUAUCUCAAGGUCUGAAGCACGGUCCUCAGGUGUUUCUCAUGAUCCUCCCGACUCCAGGAGUACACAAAGGUGUCGUCAAUAAAUACAAUGAUGAAAGAGUCAAUAUAGGGCUACACUACACUAUUCAUCAAGUGCAUGAAUGUUGAUGGGUUGUUGGUCAGCCCAAAUGACAUCACAAGCAACUCGUAAUGACCAUACCGAGUCCUGGAGGCAGUCUUCGGAAUAUCUAGCUCCCGAUCUUCAACUGAUGAUAGCCUGACCGCAAAUCAAUCUUUGAGAACACUCUAGCACCUUGUAGUUGAUCAAAUAGGUCAUCAAUGCGUGGCAAUGGAUACUUGUUCUUCAUUGUAACCUUGUUCAACUAUCGGUAAUCAAUACACAUAUGCAUAGAACCAUCCUUCUUCUUUACAAACGAGACCAGAGCACCCCAAGGUGACACGCUGGGCCGAAUGAAGCCCUUAUCAAGCAAUUUUUGCAAUUUCUCCUUUAACUCCUUUAGCUCCACUGAGGCCAUAUGAUAUGUGGUAAUAGAAUUUGGAUGAGUGCCCUACAACAAAUCCAUACCAAAAGUCAUAUACCUAUCAGGCGGCGUGCCCGGAAGAUCCGCCAGAAAUAUAUCUGGAUAAUCUCUCACUACCAGAAUUGACUCAACGGUAAGAGUAUCAACAUUGACAUCUCUCACAAAGGCUAGAUAUGCCUCACACCUCUCACCAACCAUCUGAUGUGCCUUAAGGAAAGACACAACCCUACUAGGAACAUAAUACAAACUACCCUUCCACUCCAACCGUGGCAAACCUGGCAUAGCCAACUUCACCAUCUUGGCGUGAUAAUCAAGAAUAUCAUGAUAGAGCGAAAGCCAAUCCAUACCCAAAAUAACAUAAAAAUAUACCAUAUUGAGAAACGAUAGGUAGGCUCUAGUCUCAAAACCACCAAGAACAAAUAAACACGAUCGAUACACACAAUCAACAAUAAUGGAAUCUCCCACAGGUGCGGACACAUAGACAAGAGAACUCAAAGAAGCAUGGGAUAUAUAUAAAUAUGGAGCAAAGUAAGAUGAUACAGAGGAAUAGGUAGAGCAUGUAUCAAAUAAGACUGAUGCAUCUCAAUGACAAACUGGAACAAUACAUGUGAUAACUGAGUCGGAUACAACUGCCUCUGUCCUAGUAGGAAGAGCAUAACAUAUGGCCUAGCCCCCUUCCAGGGCGACCUCUACCCGCCCGACCUCCACCUCUAGCUGGUUAUGCAGGUGGAGUGACAACUGGUGCGGUAACCACUGCCUGGGAAGCUUGAGGACCCUGUGGAAUACGAGGUUCUUGAGUAGUAUAUGGAGGUACAACUCGGAGGACGUGGCUACUAGAACUGGCUCAGGACUGGUCGGCUGGAUGGACCAUUGAAAGCACCUCAUACGGGAGGUGCACUAGAGUGUGGCGGUGCAUAAUGGAUAACCUGAGACCUGGGAGUGGCCGGAAUACCGCUGAAAGCUGGAAUUGCUAAAUGAACGGGAUGGCUCACAUAGGCUCUACCAUGACGGGCUGCAACUGGUGCACGAGCACCACUGUAUGUACCAGAAUCUCGAGGCCUCUUGGCCUCCCUCUCCUCUUUCUCCUGACUCCAUACACCCUCCAAUCUCCUAGCGAUCUCCACUACCUACUUGUAUGGGGUGUCAGUCUCCAACUCUCGAGCCAUGCUAAGUCUAAUACUAGGGUUGAGCCCCCCGAUAAAUCGAUGAACUCGCUCUCUGACAGUGGAAUCUAAUGCAGGUGCAUGUCUGGAAAACUCGUUGAACUGGAAUGUAUACUCUGAUACGGUCAUAGCACCCUGGCACAACUACUCAAACUCUGCAUGCCAUGCAUCCCUAAAACUUUAGGGAACAAACUCCCUCAUGAACAUCUCUAAGAACUGAGCCUAGGUGAGAAAAGUUGCCUCGGUCGGGCUACCCAACUCAUACUCACCACCACUGAUAAGUCUCUCGCUUCAGCUAGAAUAUAGUGAAAACAACCCCACUCGACUCUAAAAUACCCAUAGUAUGGAGGAUACGGUGGCACUCCUCAAUAAAACCAUGUGCAUCCUCUGAAGCUAAGCCGCUGAAAGUAGGAGGGUGGUACUUCUUGUACCUCUCGAGCUUGAUCUACUCCUCCUAAGAUACUGUUGCCCUAACCUCGGCCUGGACUGUAACAACCGGCUACACUGGGACCUGGUCAACUUGGACUCGCUGCUAUGGGAUACGGGCUACGAGAGUCUAUGCUUCUCCUCCGGCCUGAGUUGUAACAGGAGCAAGUGGAAUCAACCCCGCUUGAGUUAUAGUGCCAAACAUGCUCAAAACCUGGGUGAGAAUCUCCUGGAGUUCAGGGGUAGUAACAGGCGUCUCAGGUGCCUUCCCUCCAACUGGAGCUACUGGUGGCUCCUCUGUAUCAGCUCAGGCAGGUGCUCUAGCUGCACCACGUAGCCAUCCUCGGCCUCUGCCUCGGCCCCAUCCUUUUACGGCUCUAGCAGGGGGCACGCAUGUCUGAUCAUCAGAUCCAGUUGUGUGUGUCCUCGCCAUCUGUGAGAGAAUAGAAAAUAGAGAUUUAUAAUUUCAAAGUCAACAAAUUCACACGAUAAGGAAUCAAAGAAGUGAAGCGCUUUUCAUAACAGUUCCAUAGCCUCCCGAAGAUAAGUACAUAUUUCUCUAUACCGAUCCGUGAGACUCUACUAAACCUGUUUGUGACUCAUAACACCUAUGAACCUAGAGCUUUGAUACCAACUUGUCACGACCCCAAUUUUCCUCCGUAAGAUGUCGUGAUGGCACAUACUCUCUAAGGCUAGGUAAGCCUAACGAUCAUACAGAAAUAACUGAAAUAAUAAGCGAACUCUCAAAUAGUCAACAAUUUAAUAAAGAAAACUCCACAACUUGGUAUAUACUGUUUCCCCAAAACUUAUUGAUAUCGAGUCACAAGCUCUAUCACGGUGUCAUAAUCAUCCUUAUAAAAUUGUAUCUAAUAAAAGAAGGGAGCUAUAGUAAUAAGUAGAGGGUGACUCCCUGCGGAUGCUGGCACAUGUAUCUUGAAGUUUUCAACUAUGAACUCAACUCACUAAUGCCUGGACUGGUAGGAGGUACAUGGAUCUGCAUAAAAGAUGUGCAGAAGCGUAGCAUGAGUACACCAUAGCGGUACCCAGUAAGUGCCAAGCCUAACCUCAGUAGAGUAGUGAUGAGGUCAGGUCAAGACCCUACUAGAAUAAAUAAGAAAGAUGACAAAUAAUUUAAUGGUGCAAUAAUAAUAACAAUGGAAAUGAAGCAAGUAAGGAGUAUGCCAAAAUUAAAGUACAUAGAAUCAAGACAAAUAAUGCAUCACGGAAGAAAACAAGAAAUGUUAAAUCAAGGAAACGAAACAACCAAACGCAAGUGAAGUAAUAGAGAAAUACCAACAAGAGUCACUACCGAGGUACCGCUUCGUAGUCUCAAAUCACAAAAAUAAUCCACAAUCUUUCCUUAUAUCACCGCUAGAGCCUUACAUUUAUUUUUGAAAAUCAUUUUUCCUGAAAUAGCAUCCCGCGUUUUAGCCCACCUUAUCUUACCGCAUGCGUUUCAACCCCAAAAUCUUAUACCACCGCAUGCGUAUCAAUAUCACAAUGUAUCACAAAUCGCACCUCAAGUGCCCAAUAUCAUAACUUGCCAAAGAAACUAACAACAAUGAUGUUCUCACAAAAAAAAGCCCAUGGCUCAACCACAAUGUAUACACGAGUCUCAACAAUAACAACCGGAAGUGAAUAACUCAACAAGAAUAAUAUUUCACAACUUAACACUUUGCCUCAAUAUGAAUCACGACCUUUAUACCUCAAUACCAAUUUUAACAAGAUAUUUCAAGAAUAACAACUACAAGCAGAGCAUGCAAAGAUAGAUUAAUGAUGAUGAAUAUAACAUGUUAAGAAAACUCAAUUAAGGCAUGAAAUAAAUCUAUAUGGCUAAAACCGGUAAAUUUCUACAUUUAGCCUGUGUACACACUCGUCACCUACCGCUUUCACAUAUCACAAUUAUCACAAAGCAACACAAAUCCUAAGGGGUAAUUCCCCCACACAAAGUUAGGUAAGACACUUACCUCAAAACAUACUAACUCAAUCCAUUAGUAAGCCUUUCCCUCGAUUAUCCAACUUCUAACUGCUCGAAUCUAGUCAAAACAACUUCAUACCAUAACUAUAAACUAUAGGAAACUAAUUCGAACAAUAAAGUUAUGCUAUUUGCAAAGAAAUAAAAAAAUCAACCUGGGCCCGCAUCUCGAAACUUGACCAAAAUUAAAAAAUCCGGACGCCAAUUUGAUAACGAGUCCAUACAUAUAAUAAUUACUAAAAUCCGACCUAAAAAUCGCUUUUCAAAACCUAAAACUUUAGCCUAGGAAGUUUUCACAACCCUCCCCCCCCCCCACAAAAUUUUCGAACUCAAAUCAUGAAUUAGAUGAUGAAAAUAACAGUAGAUUCAUGAAAUAUAGUCCACACGUUUUUGAAAAUAACAAUCACGAAAAAAUGCCUCACACCGAGCUCUCUAGGUAUAAAAUAUGAAAAAUGAGAUAAAACCCUCAACAACAACAACAACAACUAACCUAGUUUGAUCCCAACAGGUGGGGUCUGGGGAGGGUAGUCUGUACGCAGACCUUACUCCUACCUAAUGCAGGUAGAGAGGCUAUUUCCAAUAGACCCACGGCUCAGGAAGGGCAAGAAGAAGAAGAGGAAAGCAAGGAAGGAAGAAAUAUGGAAGAGAAAAGAAAAAGGGAGAGAUAAAGGAUAAGUAGUACCCAAUAAUAGCAAUAGGAAAAUACAAUACCUGAGGCGAACAAAACCAUAUAACGUAAUAAUAAAACUAAGAAUAUGAAGAUACGUGCAUACUACUAAGACUAUCAGUGAACAACUAUAAACUACCCACUAAUCUUCUACCUUAAUCCUCGACCUCCACACCCUCAUAUCAAGGGUCAUGUCCUCAGUGAUCUGAAGCAGCGUCAUGUCCAGCCUAAUUACCUCUCCCCAAUACUUCUUAGGCCUACCUCGACCUCUUCUCAAACUCUCCAUGGCCAAUCUCUCACACCUCCUAACAGGAGCAUCAAUGCUUCUUCUCUUAACAUGUACGAACCAUAUCAGCCUCGACUCCUGCAUCUUGUCUUCCACGGAGGCUACUCCCACUUUGUCCCAGAUAGCUUCAGUCUUAAUCCUAUCUCUCCUUAUACACCCACACAUCCAUCUCAACAUCUUCAUCUCGGUUACUCUCAUCUUCUACACGUGGGAGUUCUUGACUGGCCAACACUCAGCCCCACAUAGCAUAGCCGGUCGAACCACCACUCGAUAAAACUUACCCUUAAGUUUUAGCGGCAUAUUCCUAUCACAUAAAAUACCGAAAGCGAGCCUCCACUUCAUCCAUCCCUCUCUGAUAUGAUGCGCGACAUCUUCGUCAAUGUCCCGGUUACCUUGGAUAAUAGACCUGAGAUACUUAAAACUCGCUCUCUUGGGGAUUACUUGAGAAUCAAGCUUAACCUCUACGUCUGCAUCAUGGGUCCCAUCACUGAAUUUGCACUCCAAGUAUUAUGUCUUGGUUAUACUCAGUUUGAUAAGGUCUGUCUCCAAACCUCCAACCUCGCGUUAACUCCGCUACGCAUCUCAUCAAUCAACACUAUACCAUCGGCAAAUAGCAUACACCAAGGCACCUCCCCUUGGAUGUGAUGCGACAGUACAUCCAUCGCCAAGGCAAACAAAAAUGGGCUAAGAGCCGAUCCCUGGUGCAACCCCAUCUCCAUAGGAAAAUGCUCCGAGUCACCACCCACAGUCCUCGCCUGAAUCUUAGCAUCACCAUACAUAUCUUUAAUCACCCUAAUGUAUGUUACCGUAACACCGCUAACCUCCAAACACCUCCACAGGACCUCCUUCGAAACUUUAUCGUAUGCUUUCAAAAAGGUCAAUAAACACCAUAUGCAAAUCCUGCUUCUUUUCCCUGUACUGCUCCACUAAUCUCCUUACCAGAUGAAUCGCUUCUGUAGUUGAAUGCCCCGGCAUGAAUCCAAACUGAUUCUCAAAAAUAAACACGCAUCUCCUCACCCUAGCAUCCACCACCCUCUCCCAAACCUUCAUAGUGUGACUCAAUAACUUGAUACCCCUAUAAUUAUUGCAAUAUUGGAUAUCACCCUUGUUCUUGUAAAGCGGAACCAUCGUACUCCACCUCCAUUCUUCGGGCAUCUUCUUUGUCUUAAAAAUAGCAUUAANNNNNNNNNNNNNNNNNNNNNNNNNNNNNNNNNNNNNNNNNNNNNNNNNNNNNNNNNNNNNNNNNNNNNNNNNNNNNNNNNNNNNNNNNNNNNNNNNNNNNNNNNNNNNNNNNNNNNNNNNNNNNNNNNNNNNNNNNNNNNNNNNNNNNNNNNNNNNNNNNNNNNNNNNNNNNNNNNNNNNNNNNNNNNNAUUCCAUCGGGAUUUCGUGUGGCCCCGCCGCUCUACCCCUGCACAUCUUACGCAUCGCCCCUUCCACCUCCUCUACCAUAAUCCGCCUACAAUACCCAAAAUCCCGCCGACUCUCGGAGUGCUCCAACUCACCCAGCAUAAUGCGUCUAUCCCCCUCCUCAUUCAACAGUUUAUGGAAGAAUGUCUACCAUCUUCUCCUAAUGAGUGCCUCGUCCAUCAACACUUUUCCAUACUCGUCCUUGAUGCACUUGACUUGGUCUAAGUCGCAUCUCAGUCACCUUGGCCAACCGGUACAACCUCUUGUCCCCGCCUUUGCCCUCGAUAUCCUCGUACAAACGAGCAUACACCGCGUUCUUAUCCGUCGUAACUACUAACUUCGCCUCUUUCUUUGCCUUUCUGUAACACUCCCAAUUAGUCCUUUUUUCCUCCUCGUUUGUACUCUCGACUAGCUUCAAAUAAGCAAUUUUCUUAGCUUCCACUUUACCUUGAACCUCUCCAUUCCACCACUAGUCCCCUAUAUGACCCCCAGGAGAGCCCUUCAUAACCCUAAGACCUCUCUAGUCGCUACCCUAAUGCAAUCCGCAGUCGUGAACCAGAUGAGAUGAAACCCUCAUUUUUGAAAUUUUAUUCUGCUGCCCAGUUGUUCUUCUUGCGAUCAUGAAACACAAAUUCACAGCUGCCAAAAAUAACUCUCCCUGAAUGCGAAAGUCUACACGUGAACGCAACUCACAAAACUCCACAAGCUACGCUAUCGCGGAACCCUUCAUGGGAUCGUGAAGAACAAAAUGCGUAGACCCCCAGUCCAUUCAAUAACACGCGUGUGCGAUUCACUGACUCUCCAAACAUCACGAUCGCAUGACCCUUCUCGCGAUCGCAUAUAACAACUUUCACAAGCUCACCAAACCGCUCUUCGUGAUCACGAAUCUCCACUCACGAUCACGUACAAGGAAACCAUUUGCAGGAGAUUCAACAGUCUCCAAGGUUCCGAAAUGCGCCGAACAUGUUCCGAAUUACACCCGAGGCUUCCGAGACCUCAACCAAACAUACCAACAAGUGCUAAAACAUCAUAGAAACAUGCUCGAAGCAUCAAAUCACAUCAAACAACACUAGAAUCACGAAUCUCAUAUCGAUUCAAGCCUAAGGAACUUAUGAACUUCUGAAUUUCAAAACUAAUGUCGAUUCAUAUCAAAACAACUCUGAUUGACUUAAAAUUUUGCACACAAGUCACAAAUGAUAUGAUGGACCUAUUCCAACUUCAGGAAUUGGAAACCGACUCAUAUAUCAAAAAAGUCAACUCCCGUCAAACUUUUCAACUUUCGCCAUUUCAAGCUGAAACGACCUUUGGGCCUCCAAAUCAACAUCCAGACAGGCUCUUAAGUCUAAAAUCACCAUACAGAGCUAUUGAAAUUGUCAAAACUCCAUUUUGGAUUCGUGUACACAAAAGUCAAACUACGGGCAACUCUUUUAACUUAAACCUCCAACUUAUGGACUAUGUGUUCUAUUUCACUCCAAAACUCACCCGAAACCAAAACCAAACACCCUGAAAAGUCACAUAAUCAUAAUAUAAUAAAGAGGAGGCAGUAAAUAGGGUAUCAAUGCCAAAAUACUCAAAACGACCGGCCGGGUCGUUAUAGAACUUAUGGCUUAUAAUGAUGACGAUGGAGUAGACUUAACUAUAAGAGAGGCAGCACAACAAGAAGUUGCACGAAUAACAGUUGAGGCAGCCCAUAAAGUUGAUGAUGAGACCAUCAAAGAUGGUGUGGGUCAAAGAUUCAAUCUAAAUCGACUCUUGGUUGAAGACCAAUUCGAAAAUAUGAUACCCAAGCCUGGUAUAUCAUUGGGUGAUUAUGCCAGACCAGUCUAUAAUCAGAAGCUAUCUAGUGUCAUACCUCCACCAAUAGCAGCGAAUAAUUUUGAGUUGAAGCAAGGUUUGCUUCAAACUAUCCAGAACAAUGGUGUCCUUAGAGGGAAGAUGAAUGGAGAUCCUAACACUCCCUUGAUGGAUUUUGAGGAAAUCAUGAACACUUUCCAGUACAACGCAGUGUCAAAAGAUACAGUUUACUUAAGGGCAUUCCCCUUUUUACUGAAGGAUGACACGAAACACUGGCUUCGUAGCUUACUAACUAGGUCGAUCAGGACAUGGGAAGAUAUGACCAAAAGGUUUCUUGACAAAUACUUCUCAGCUGCAAAAAUAGUGAAAUUCAGGGAAAAACAUUCACAACUCCUACCAGAAGGACACUGAAACAGUUUUCGAGGCUUGAGAAAGAUUCAAGAAGAUAGUGAGAAAGUGUCAGUAUAAUGGGAUUGAAUUGUGGAUGCAACUCCAGGACUUUUGGGAUGGACUAACACCUUUCUCACGAUGAACUCUCAGUUCUGCAGUUGGAGGUCCUUUAAUGAAGAAGACUCCUGAGGAGAUUCUUGCAAUUCUUGAUAAGCUCUCUGAAGAUGCUAACCAAUGGCCUGUUGAGAGUAAUGAUAGAAGAAAAUCAGUUGGGGUUCGCUAGGUAGACUCUAACACAUCAGUGCAAGUAGCAUGUGACUUUUGUGGAAUGGGACAUCCUACACAUGAGUGUCAAGCUUCAACUGAAGUAAAUGCUGUGGGGAGAUUUGACAGAGGCAACUACCAAAGUGGAAACAAUUUUAACUCCAUGGGGAAGAGGCACCUAUGUUUCUCUUGGAGUUGACCAGGUGGUAGUGCAAAUGCAUGGCAGCAAAAUAACUCUAGACCCCAGGGACAAUGAGCUCUAGGUUUUCAAAAUCAGCAGAGGCAGCAAUGUCAUCCUCCACAGUCUAAUCAGUCUAUCAUGGAAGAUCUGAUGAAUCACUUUAUUAUUAAGAUAGAUGAGAGGCUUGAAACCAAUGUCACAACUAUCAGAGAAUAGGGCACGGCCAUUCGAAACUUGAAAAGGUAGGUGGGGCAACUAGCUAAUCUAUUGUCUAAGAGAUUUCUAGGAACUCUCCCUGCUGAUACUGAAAGAAAUACAAAAGAGAUAAUAAAUAUAGUGUCUUUGAGGAGUGGGAAUGUAUUAGAGGAUCCCAGGGCAAAACAAAGGGAAGAGCUGAUUGAAAGGCAAGUGGAGAUUGUGGAGGAGCAGAAAAAUGACAACAUUCAAGAAGGUGUAGGGAUGGUAGUUGAGGGUCUGAAGAAGAAGGGUAAGAUUAAAGCUCAGAAGAAGAAGAAAGAUGAGAAUGUAAUAAAUGAGGAGACUGAAGAAAGUUAAUAUAUGCAUGCUCUACCUUUCCUACAGAAGCAGAGAAAAGAGAAGCCCGACAAACAAUUUGGGCACUUUCUAGAAGUGCUCAAGUAGGUACAUGUGAAUAUACCCUUCACAGAGGUACUUUCAUAGAUGCCAGCUUAUGCUGAAUAUUUUAAGGAGAUAUGUCCAAAAAGAGGAAUGUGGAAGAGACAUCGAUUGUCAAGCUCACAGAACAUUAUAGUGCCAUUCUGCAAAACAAGUUCUUCAAAAGUGUGGAGAUCUAGAGAGUUUUACUAUACCUUGCUCUUUAGCAGGUACUAAGUUUGAAAAAUCUUUGUGUGAUUCAGGUACUUCUAUUAAUCUUAUGCAUUUGACUACUUUCAGGAAAUUGGAGGGAGAGAUUGGAGAAAUCGGGUCGAUACAUGUGUCCUUGCAGCUGGCGGAUCAGACCACAAUCAUACCUGAAGAAAUAGUGAAAGAUGUGCUAGUUCGGGUGCACAAAUUUAUGUUCCCUGUGGACUUAAUUGUGGUGAACAUGGAGGAAAAUAGAGAGGUUCCUCUGAUUCUAGGGAGACCCUUCUUGGCUACGGGCAGGGCAAUUUUGUACAUUCAAGAAAGGAAACUCAUGCUCAGAGUGGGGGAGGAAAGGGUGAUAUUCAAGAUGGAAAGAGCAAGAGGGACUCGAAAAGAGAAACUUGGAGAGAGUAAAACUGAUAAGUGUGGGGUGUACCCAAAGAAGGCCGAAAAGAAUCUCUUAGCAUGGAUGUGUGCAUUGGGUCGGGAGUGCAAAGGAGAUCCCAACUUCGAUUCAGACCCCGACUAGAUGAAUCAUGAGAGUUUACUUUACCUCUUGUUUUAUUUGUGUGUCAUGGGGACAUGCCACAAUUUAUAGUUUGGGGUGGAGGAUGUAUAUAUGUACAUGUAUUUUUGUUUUUGUUUUGAUUGGAAUUUGUUUUUACUUUUUCUGACGAUGGAUUUCCUCGACUGUCUUCUUGAUGGAUCAAAUUCGAAGAAAAAAAUUGUUUUUCUUAGAUAGUGUAACAAUUCCCCCUUGGUUUUUCUUUGUGCCCCAGUUCAUUUCCAAGGAUUUUGCUUAAACCGGGGGUAGUUCGUUUUUCUUUUGUUAGGAUUAGAGAGGUCUUGUGCUAUGGUAUUAAAUGUAGAUGAUUUUUCUUGACUUUGUUGUGCCUUGAGAGCGAUGAGUACCUUAGUUGUGACGCCUAGGCUUAGUUCUUAGCUCAUCUAUAAGUGCCUUAAAUUGGUGAUUGUGACUUUAACAGCUUUGACUAGAGAGUCAGGAUAGAUACGAUCGCGAGUGAGUUAUGUGCCAAUUUGUGCGUGAGGUUGUUGCUGAUAUUCAGUGCAUGUCAGUUGAUAUCUAGAACUUUCCCCAUAUAUUUGUAAAGCGAAAUAACAGUCUUGUUCAGUCUAGGAUGUGAUAUAGGCGUUCCUUUGUUGAGCCAGCUAUAUGCUUUUACCCACCUAAUUAUUGUGUAUCGUAGUUAGCCUUUUGAGCCUGUAAUCCUACUUCUUUGGCAACCACAUUGCAAGCCCCAUCCACUUUGUUUUAAUUAACUAUCUGUUUGAAACUUUUUUCCACUCUUGGGCACUUGAUCUUGCUAUGAAUUGUAAAUCUAAGUUGAGAUAUGAUUGGUUUUUUUUAUGGGAUUAUAAAAAAUGAGAGAGGUACACUGCUUUGAAAAAAAUUGUGAGAGCCAUUUGUAGGGAAUUGAAAGAAAAAACGAGUUUGCUUGAAAAGAAAAAAACAAAAAAUCAUAACUUAGAAAAGAAAAAUGGAUUCCUCACUAGUGGUAGUUCUCCUAUUGUCUGUACUUAAAGAUAUUGGUAGCUUGAUGCUAUUAUGUGUGAAGUUUGGAAUUUGGUUCAAACAUAAGUGUGGGGUUUAAAUUGUAAAAUUGUAUGUAUUAAAGUGCUCAUGGAGGUGUAGUCACUAUAUCCAAAUGUAUCCUACCCGUACUGCAACUUACAUUACAAUAAAAAUAAAGUCCUACUUGAUCUUGGACCGAAUGAGCUCAAUUAGUAGAGUAUUACAUUACGGACAAGCCUAUGGUACGUCUUUUGUGGCACAUGAGUUUUAUUUCUGAGAGUGAGUUAAUUCUUUCUAUCUUGAGUUCCUAUGUGUUCUUAAAUUUUAUUGUGUGUGGAACUACUCUCUAUCUUUGGUGUGAAGGCACAUGAUUUGCGAAGGAAAGGUAAUGUCUUUGGCCUCUGAGUUAGAGUAAAUGAGUAGGUUUUGAAAUACGUGGUGCAUGUGAGUCGAGUCUUAAGGCUAGGAUAUUAUGAUGGAGUGCUUAGUUUACUUUAAAUAUUCUUGGCAUGAUGAGUUAGGGAACUUGUUUGAUAAGAAGAUCGUCUCUAUGUGAAGUGCAGUUUGAUUAGUCGAGGACGAACAAUGAUUUAAGUGCAGGUGUUGAUGGUAGGCUAGAAACCUGUAUUUUAGUCAUAGUUUGCACUAAAAUUUCUGCAUUUUACUUGUAUUUGAGCUUAAAUAUUAGUGUAUUGAACUUAUUAUGUGUUUUAUGCCUUGCAAUAAGUGAUUAUGAGUUAAGAAGAUAAUCUGGAGCUAAAUCGAACAAUUUGGAGUUUUGAAGUCUGAGUAAAAGUCCAAGAAAUGAAAUCGGGAACGCGUUCGGACGCCGGGAGCCAAGUCUGGAUGUCAAAACGUGAAGAAAACAAAACAUUCUUGGAAAAUUACACAGUUGUGCCGCAUGGGGUAGCGCGACAAUGUAAAAUGUUGUCGUAGGUCAGAAAUCGCUCUCUGAACUUUCCCACUAGCGCCCCGCAUGGGGCGGCGCUCUUGUACAAUUUUCUCUGAGUAUGUUUCUAUUUUGGCUUGGAAAGGGUAGUUUCGCCUGGGCCCACUGCUACAUGGUAUAAAUACACCAAAAAGAUAUUUUUUAAGGGACUUUUAACCUUGGAAGCUUUGGGAGAGCAUUGGAAGCUACAAGAUACAAGAUUUCAUCAUCUUUCCAUCAAUUCAAUACGGGAGUUUGGAUUGUAACGUUAGAAUAAUGUUUUAUUACUCUUUAAUUAUAUUUGUGAUGACUUCCUCCAUGAUUAUGGAGUAGUUUCCCUUAGAGUUUGACGUAUAUAGUAUUUUGAUAAAUAUUUGUGGAUUUUAACUCUAGUUUCUUGCUUGAAUUCAAUUUAUGGAGUUUUGAAUUGUUGCAACUUUAUUAACCGAUUUAUUUAAUCAAAAGAGGAAUAUAUUUGCGAUUAUCUUUGCAUUAUUUUGUUUGGUUUAAUUCGGUGAUUCUCUUAAGUAACCAAACGAUCUUGUUGAAUUUUUGAUUAAAUCACUUUAGGUGAAUAUUCGAGAGACGUUUUCUUGAAGAUUAAUCCAUUAACGCAUGCUUGCUUAUUUUCAC